UAAUAACUCUGCAAAUACUUAAAACGAAUAUAGUUUUACCAGCCAGCAGAUCGAAAAGUAACAUAAAUUACUGGAGUGUAAAACUUGAAACUACUGCAGAUUGAGAAUCUUGUAAGCUGGUACACUAAAAUCAUGUCUGAGAAGAAACGUAAGGAUGUGGCUAAACAGCCCAGCCAUAUUGAAGAAACCACUGAAACCAAG
Long non-coding RNA from Dendroctonus ponderosae (mountain pine beetle), 201 nucleotides. RefSeq lists it as uncharacterized. NCBI's taxonomy places the organism in Eukaryota, Metazoa, Arthropoda, Insecta, Coleoptera, Curculionidae. The transcript has 3 exons. The record is from RefSeq and is a predicted model, not a curated record.